CAACCUUUCUGGAUCCAUUUCACCUAUGAACGCCUCCCAAAUUUCUGCUAUAUAUGUGGCAUUCUUGGACAUAGUCAGAAAGAAUGCUAGCAAUAGAAACCCUCAGUGGAGGCUUACUCAACUACUGAUUACGCCUACGGACCCUAGUUACGAGCUGGAAAUUUAGGAGAUUAUGGCGGCCCUAUUCAUGAUCGUCAAAUACAUUCCAUGACCCCAAAUCCGCCGGUGAAAGAACCUGACUUCGGUGAACAGAUCCAUGGUAAGAAAAUGCCAGAAAUGGCAAGUGGCAGCAACUCGGUUGAAAUUCAGGAGGAAUUACAGGGAAAUAAUGGGAAAGGAAAAAAUAGGGAGCUGAUGAAGACAA
Molecule: ribosomal RNA, 364 nt
Filed under: Olea europaea subsp. europaea
Lineage: Eukaryota; Viridiplantae; Streptophyta; Magnoliopsida; Lamiales; Oleaceae
Source: RNAcentral